CAUCCGCGUGAGUGAAGAAGGCCUUCGGGUUGUAAAGCUCUUUCGCAAGAGAAGAAACGAUACAGUCUAAUAAACUGUGUUAAUGACGGUACCUUGAUAAGAAGCACCGGCUAACUACGUGCCAGCAGCCGCGGUAAUACGUAGGGUGCGAGCGUUAAUCGGAAUUACUGGGCGUAAAGCGUGCGCAGGCGGUUUUGAAAGUCAGAUGUGAAAUCCCCGGGCUCAACCUGGGAACUGCGUUUGAAACUCCAAAGCUAGAGUAUGGGAGAGGGGGGUAGAAUUCCACGUGUAGCAGUGAAAUGCGUAGAGAUGUGGAGGAAUACCAAUGGCGAAGGCAGCCCCCUGGCUUAAUACUGACGCUCAUGCACGAAAGCGUGGGGAGCAAACAGGCUUAGAUACCCUGGUAGUCCACGCCCUAAACGAUGUCUACUAGUUGUUGGGAGAGUAAAAUCUCUUAGUAACGCAGCUAACGCGUGAAGUAGACCGCCUGGGGAGUACGGUCGCAAGAUUAAAACUCAAAGGAAUUGACGGGGGCCCGCACAAGCGGUGGAUUAUGUGGAUUAAUUCGAUGCAACGCGAAAAACCUUACCUGGCCUUGACAUGUAGCGAACUUAGCAGAGAUGCUUU
This 627-nucleotide ribosomal RNA is filed under the name uncultured bacterium. RNAcentral's name for it is "bacterial SSU rRNA". It matches the Rfam family "Bacterial small subunit ribosomal RNA", at positions 394 to 1012 of the family's 1533-position model. The record is from RNAcentral.